ACUUGGAGCAGAAAGAAAAUAUUGCUCUGAUCUCACCAAAAGGAGACUGAAAGACUUCCAACCAGGGAAAGGAGCUUCUUGAGUAGGAGCCCCUCCGGACUUUGUUCUGUCCAGCCACUAAGACAGAAGUGACACAGGGCCCUUCUAGGCAGAAGCACAGAAGAACACGUGUGAAUUCCCCAUGUCUCGUCUUCUCUUGCCAGGACGCUGGAGACCCGUACCCAGUGCUACAGCUCCUAAUGUCAGAGCCUCUGUCAGCCAGAGUUCUUAGGAGGAUCCCACAGUCUCCACCACCAAUGCACAUCCGUCAUGAAUGUAGAUGUGAGCUGGAGCUGCUAUUUUGGACUACGAAGCAGAAGGCAUGUAUUGGGAGUGGCAGCACAAUGAGAGAAACGGAAACUGGGCCCCUGACACAGCUGAACUGCCGCUGCAUUUUGGCAUCUCUUUGUUAGUUGUUGAACUCAUAUCCCAAGUAAUACCGGACCUCAUUUACUAGAACCGUGCUCCACCUUUCUGGCCUGAAAACAAAUGUGCUGUCUGGAAAGAGCA
This is a long non-coding RNA of Hyaena hyaena (striped hyena), 549 nucleotides long. RefSeq lists it as uncharacterized. The record is from RefSeq and is a predicted model, not a curated record. NCBI's taxonomy places the organism in Eukaryota, Metazoa, Chordata, Mammalia, Carnivora, Hyaenidae. The transcript is spliced from 3 exons.